RNAcentral lists this ribosomal RNA (242 nucleotides) under uncultured bacterium. RNAcentral's name for it is "partial 16S ribosomal RNA". It matches the Rfam family "Bacterial small subunit ribosomal RNA", at positions 100 to 334 of the family's 1533-position model. The record is from RNAcentral.
CCGGCACGGGUGAGUAACACGUAUGCAAUCCACCUGUAACAGGGGGAGUAACCCGGAGAAAUCCGGACUAAUACCCCAUAAUAUGGGCGCUCCGCAUGGAGAGUCCAUUAAAGAGAGCAAUUUUGGUUACAGACGAGCAUGCGCUCCAUUAGCCAGUUGGCGGGGUAACGGCCCACCAAAGCGACGAUGGAUAGGGGUUCUGAGAGGAAGGUCCCCCACAUUGGAACUGAGACACGGUCCAA